ACCAAGGAAUCUUGUUAAAAUGCAGAUUCUGAUUUAGUAGGCAGGGACUAACAUUCUGCAUUUCUAACAAGCUCCUAGGUGGU
This 83-nucleotide microRNA precursor is filed under the name Chinchilla lanigera (long-tailed chinchilla). RNAcentral's name for it is "miRNA (ENSCLAG00000021085.1)". Lineage: Eukaryota; Metazoa; Chordata; Mammalia; Rodentia; Chinchillidae. The record is from RNAcentral.